GUCUGAUGGAGCAAUGCCAUGUGAACGAUGAAGGCCUAUUUGGUCGUAAAGUUCUUUUAGAGGGGAAGACUUUGACGGUACCCUCUGAAUAAGUGACAGCAAACUAUGUGCCAGCAGCUGCGGUAAUACAUAGGUCGCGAGCGUUAUUCGGUUUUAUUGGGCGUAAAGCAAGCGCAGGCGGAUGAACAAGUUCUGUGUUAAAAGCAGCUGCUCAACAGUUGUUUGCACCGAAUACUGUUCGUCUAGAAUGUGGUAGGAAGUUUUGGAAUUAAAUAUGGAGCGGUGGAAUGUGUAGAUAUAUUUAAGAACACCAGAGGCGAAGGCGAAAACUUAGGCCAUCAUUGACGCUUAGGCUUGAAAGUGUGGGUAGCAAAUGGGAUUAGAUACCCCAGUAGUCCACACCGUAAACGAUGGGUAUUGGAUGUCGGGCUUUGUGGCUCGGUGUUGUAGCUUACGUGUUAAAUACCCCGCCUGGGUAGUAUAUAUGCAAAUAUGAAACUCAAAGGAAUUGACGGGGACCUGAACAAGUGGUGGAACAUGUUGCUUAAUUCGAUAAUACACGAAAAACCUUACCAGGGUUUGACAUCCCUUGCGAAACCGUGGAAACACGGCGGAGGUUAUCAAGGUGACAGGUGGUGCAUGGUUGUCGUCAGCUCGUGUCAUGAGAUGUUUGGUUAAGUCCCGCAACGAGCGCAACCCUACCCCUUAGUUGUUUGUCUAAGGAGACUGCACAGUAAUGUAGAGGAAGGAUGGGAUCACGUCAAAUCAUCAUGCCCCUUAUGCCCUGGGCUGCAAACGUGUUACAAUGGUAGAUACAAUAUGUCUGCAAACCAGCGAUGGUAAGCUAAUCAUCAAAAUCUAUCUCAGUCCGGA
Molecule: ribosomal RNA, 873 nt
Filed under: uncultured Mycoplasma sp.
Lineage: Bacteria; Bacillati; Mycoplasmatota; Mollicutes; Mycoplasmatales; Mycoplasmataceae
Description: bacterial SSU rRNA
Rfam family: Bacterial small subunit ribosomal RNA
Source: RNAcentral